UACGUAGGCAGCGAGCGUUGUUCGGAGUUACUGGGCGUAAAGAGUUCGUGGGCGGUUUUCUAAGUUUGGUGUGAAAUCUCCCGGCUCAACUGGGAGGGUGCGCCGAAGACUGGAAGACUAGAGUGUGGGAGAGGUAAGCGGAAUUCCUGGUGUAGCGGUGAAAUGCGUAGAUAUCAGGAGGAACACCUGCGGUGUAGACGGCUUACUGGACCACCACUGACGCUGAGGCACGAAAGCGUGGGUAGCAAACAGG
RNAcentral lists this ribosomal RNA (253 nucleotides) under uncultured bacterium. RNAcentral describes it as "partial 16S ribosomal RNA". It matches the Rfam family "Bacterial small subunit ribosomal RNA", at positions 524 to 776 of the family's 1533-position model. The record is from RNAcentral.